UUAAAUAUAAUAUUAUAUUAUAAUAUAUAUAAUAUAAAUUUAUUAAAUAUUAAAUUCUUUUUAAUUAUUUAAU
This 73-nucleotide transfer RNA is filed under the name Ulmus davidiana. Its description in RNAcentral is "tRNA-Leu". The record is from RNAcentral. RNAcentral also lists the same sequence under 1 other name. Lineage: Eukaryota; Viridiplantae; Streptophyta; Magnoliopsida; Rosales; Ulmaceae.